GGGAGCGACUUGGCUUCGACAGGAGUAAGUCUGCUUAGAUGGCAUGUCGCUUUGGGCAAAGCGUAAAAAGCCCAAAUAAAAUUAAACGCAAACAACGUUAAAUUCGCUCCUGCUUACGCUAAAGCUGCGUAAGUUCAGUUGAGCCUGAAAUUUAAGUCAUACUAUCUAGCUUAAUUUUCGGUCAUUUUUGAUAGUGUAGCCUUGCGUUUGACGAGCGUCGAGGUGAAAUAAAGUCUUAGCCUUGCUUUUGAGUUUUGGAAGAUGAGCGAAGUAGGGUGAAGUAGUCAUCUUUGCUAAGCAUGUAGAGGUCUUUGUGGGAUUAUUUUUGGACAGGGGUUCGAUUCCCCUCGCUUCCACCA
RNAcentral lists this transfer-messenger RNA (359 nucleotides) under Campylobacter jejuni. It matches the Rfam family "transfer-messenger RNA". Rfam says of the family: Bacterial tmRNA, also known as 10Sa RNA or SsrA, is named for its dual tRNA and mRNA-like properties. Its role is to liberate the mRNA from a stalled ribosome. The record is from RNAcentral. Lineage: Bacteria; Pseudomonadati; Campylobacterota; Epsilonproteobacteria; Campylobacterales; Campylobacteraceae. RNAcentral also lists the same sequence under 1 other name.